AUGAAGCCUAAUAAUAAACCAUCUACUGUUGUUUCUGAAAUUAAAUUGAAAAGUGCAUGUUUACUUGCCACCAAAUCUGAUAUUGAUGAGCUAGAUUUCAGCAAAUCGGUUUGCUAUGCUUUUGUGUGCAAAGAGGCAUUAUUUUCAUUCGAGGACGUGCCUUCCUCUUUGCCCCCUGCUGUCACUAACAUUUUGCAGGAGUUCGCUGACGUCUUUCAACAAGACGUGCCACCGGGAUUACCACCUAUUCGAGGGAUUGAGCAUCAAAUUGACUUAAUUCCCGGUGCUUCGCUACCCAACCGUGCACCAUACCGUACCAAUCCAGAGGAGACGAAGGAGAUUAUGCGUCAAAUACAAGAACUGCUCGACAAAGGUUAUAUAUGCGAAUCCCUCAGUCCUUGUGCUGUUCCUAUCAUUUUAGUGCCGAAAAAGGAUGGUACGUCGCGUAUGUGCGUUGAUUGUAGAGGCAUUAAUAAUAUUACUAUUCGUUAUCGUCAUCCUAUUCCUAGGCUAGAUGAUAUGCUGGAUGAAUUGAGUGGCUCUACAAUAUUCUCCAAAGUUGAUUUGCGUAGUGGAUACCAUCAAAUUCGUAUGAAAUUGGGAGAUGAAUUGAAAACAGCAUUUAAAACUAAGUUUGGAUUAUAUGAGUGGUUAGUCAUGCCUUUUGGGUUAACUAAUGCACCUAGUACUUUCAUGAGGUUAAUGAACGAAGUUUUACGUGCUUUCAUUGGACGAUUUGUGGUAGUUUACUUUGAUGACAUAUUGAUUUAUAGCAAAUCUUUGGAGGAACAUUUGGAACAUUUACGUGCUGUUUUUAUUGCUCUACAUGAUGCACGUUUGUUUAGUAACCUUGGAAAGUGCACCUUUUGCACCGACCGAGUAUCUUUUCUUGGCUAUGUUGUUACUCCACAGGGAAUUGAAGUUGAUAAAGCCAAGAUUGAAGCUAUUGAGAGUUGGUCGCAGCCCAAAACGGUCACACAAGUGAGGAGUUUCCUUGGCCUCGCUGGUUUCUAUAGGCGUUUUGUGAGAGAUUUCAGCACCAUUGCUGCACCUCUCAACAAGCUUACAAAGAAGGAUGUGCCUUUUGUUUGGGGUACCGCACAGGAAGAAGCCUUCACGGUAUUGAAAGAUAAGUUGACACAUACUCCUUUACUCCAACUUCCUAAUUUCAAUAAGACUUUUGAGCUUGAAUGUGAUGCUAGUGGAAUUGGAUUAGGAGGUGUGUUAUUACAAGAUGGAAAACCUGUUGCAUACUUUUCUGAAAAAUUGAGUGGGCCUAGUCUGAACUAUUCUACUUAUGAUAAAGAAUUAUAUGCUCUUGUUCGGACCUUAGAAACAUGGCAACAUUAUUUAUGGCCCAAGGAAUUUGUUAUACAUUUUGAUCAUGAAUCUUUGAAACACAUUAAAAGUCAAGCAAAACUGAACCGUAGACAUGCUAAAUGGGUUGAAUUCAUUGAGACUUUUCCUUAUGUCAUUAAACACAAGAAGGGUAAAGAAAAGUUAUUGCUGAUGCCUUGUCUCGUCGUUAUACUAUGCUUUCACAACUUGACUUUAAAAUAUUUGGUUUGGAGACCAUCAAAGAUCAAUAUGUUCAUGAUGCUGAAUUUAAAGAUGUAUUACAGAAUUGUAAGGAAAGGAGAACUUGGAACAAGUUCGUUCUUAACGAUGGAUUUGUGUUUCGUGCUAACAAGCUAUGCAUUCCAGCUAGCUCCGUUCGUCUUUUGUUGUUGCAGGAGGCGCAUGGAGGAGGAUUAA
RNAcentral lists this ribosomal RNA (1755 nucleotides) under Triticum aestivum (bread wheat). RNAcentral's name for it is "partial small subunit ribosomal RNA". Lineage: Eukaryota; Viridiplantae; Streptophyta; Magnoliopsida; Poales; Poaceae. The record is from RNAcentral.